GGCAGGCUGAUAAUCCCAACUCUCAGAAGAAGGCAAACUGCGCAAACUAGAAUAGCGCUUCACUCCAGAGUCGAGAGCAUUAUGGGUAGAAUUAUUGACAUAUGCAUUCAAAAGCUGCAUGUGGUUAGACCACAAUGGUUGGUGUCCCUUUUGUAUCCCGUAGGGUGAUUCUAAACCACCUGGUAACCUCUGACUCUUGGGGGAGUCAUAUAAACCCGAAGAAAUUGGAUCAGAUGCUUUGCUUCCAAGAGGUGAUAAGUGAGGAAAAUCUUUACCAACAGCAUCUUUCAGAGAGGAAGUUACAAGUUCUGAAUCAAUACCCAGUAAUAAAUCUAGUUUCUUAACCUUGGCAUCUUGAGUGGCCACCCCAUGGAAAUCAUACAACUGU
Molecule: unclassified non-coding RNA, 388 nt
Filed under: Hevea brasiliensis (rubber tree)
Lineage: Eukaryota; Viridiplantae; Streptophyta; Magnoliopsida; Malpighiales; Euphorbiaceae
Source: RNAcentral